CCCUCCUUCCCGUUUAGCUGCGUAGAGGGGCGGCGUUCCAUCAUGGCGUCGUCCAUGUGAGGCGAGAAGCGCGUCAGGUUCCGCAGGAUAAAAAAAUGCUGGAACUCCAAAGAUAAAAUAAAAAUGCCUGCUGUCUGUGAUUCCCUCCUUGGAGACAUUGAAGAUAUUAUCUCAGAGCAAGACCCAAAGCCGCAAGACCUGCAGUUCAGGAGAAAAAAUGUUAUUCCUAAAGUGCGAAAACGCCAUUCACAAAAAAAUGUAGAAACAGAUUGUGAUGAUCCCCCAAGUGACAGUGUUAUUCCUGGUGUACAAAAAAUUUGGAUACGCACAUGGGGAUGUUCUCAUAAUAGUUCAGAUGGAGAAUACAUGGCUGGACAACUGGCUGCAUAUGGAUACAGAAUUACAGACAAUGCUGCAGAAGCUGAUCUGUGGCUCCUGAACAGCUGUACUGUUAAAAGCCCUGCUGAAGACCACUUUAGAAACUCAAUUAAGAAAGCACAAGAAGAAAAAAAGAAAGUUGUUCUAGCUGGAUGUGUUCCACAAGCCCAGCCUCGACAAGACUACCUACAAGGCCUGAGUAUCAUUGGGGUUCAGCAGAUAGAUCGUGUCGUAGAAGUUGUUGAGGAGACGAUCAAAGGUCACUCUGUGAGAUUGCUGGGUCAGAAAAAGGAUAAUGGAAAACGGUUGGGGGGAGCGCGAUUGGAUUUGCCAAAGAUUAGAAAGAACCCACUGAUAGAAAUAAUUUCCAUCAAUACAGGGUGUUUGAAUGCAUGUACCUACUGCAAAACUAAGCAUGCCAGAGGAGAUCUCGCAAGUUAUCCUAUUGAAGAACUGGUAAACAGAGCCAAACAAUCCUUUCAAGAAGGGGUAUGCGAGAUAUGGCUGACCAGUGAAGACACAGGGGCUUACGGAAGAGACAUUGGCACAGACCUCCCUACUCUCCUAUGGAAGCUGGUUGAAGUAAUCCCUGAAGGAGCAAUGCUAAGACUUGGCAUGACGAACCCUCCCUAUAUUUUAGAGCAUCUGGAGGAAAUGGCAAAAAUUCUCAACCAUCCAAGAGUCUAUGCAUUUCUUCAUGUACCAGUUCAAAGUGCCUCUGAUAGCGUACUCAUGGACAUGAAGAGGGAAUACUGUGUGGCGGACUUCAAAAGGGUAGUGGAUUUCCUUAAAGAAAAAGUGCCUGGAAUAACAAUUGCCACAGACAUCAUUUGUGGGUUUCCAGGGGAAACAGAUGAAGAUUUUCAAGAAACCAUGAAGCUUGUAGAAGAGUACAAGUUUCCAAGUCUUUUUAUUAACCAGUUUUACCCACGCCCUGGGACUCCUGCUGCAAAAAUGCAUCAAGUUCCAGCCCAAGUAAAAAAACAGAGAACGAAAGAACUGUCAAGAUUGUUUCACUCGUACAACCCAUAUGAUCACAAGAUUGGGGAGAAACAAAAUGUUCUUGUGACAGAAGAAUCAUUUGAUUCCAAGUUUUAUGUUGCUCAUAAUCGAUUCUACGAGCAGGUACUUGUGCCAAAGAACCCUGAGUUCAUGGGUAAAAUGGUAGAAGUGAACAUUUUUGAAGCAGGGAAGCACUUUAUGAGGGGGAGCCCAGUGUCGGAUGCCAGAGUGUUCACCCCGUCUAUCACUAGGCCAUUAGCCAAAGGAGAGGUGUCUGGUUUAACAGAGGUUGCAGGUGCAUCAGAAAGCGGGAAAUGAGUGAGACCGAAUAAGAGUGCGCAAAUACAUAUUAUUACUGGCACACAUCAGAUCUAAUGACUGAUAUAAAAACAAUCAAAAUAGUUUUGAUGCUACGGAUAUGUACUGCCAUUGGACAUCUAAUUUUUAAGGGAGGUAGAUUGCAGGCUCAUUAAUAUGCCUUGGGCAUUUAUUACUAACAACAGUUGAAAAUUCAUGAUAAUUGAUUAUUGACGCAAAAAAAAUAUAAUGGUAUCUUAUUCUUUAUAUUGCUGUUUCUUCCUAUAUUGUUGCAUAUUUGAUUAUUUUUGCAUGUUCCUACAUUUUAUCUAGCCCAUUUGUGUUUGUAAAUUUUUGUUUCCAGUAUUCUACAAAAACCAUUCUUACUAUUAUUAUCAUAUAGCAAUUUGAAUCCAACGUUCAGUACAUCCCUAUAUCUUUUCCAUUAUAAUUUUUAUCUUUUUCCAUACAGUGCUUCUUUGAUUCUGGUGGUCCAAGAACAAGUCUAUCACAAAUGAUAAAUAUCACCUUUCACAGUUAGGAAUUCGAGGACAUUUUUGUCUUGCUUAUCAGGAAAGCAGCAAUAAACUCCGAUAAGCAACUUGUAGUAAUUUUCCUCAAGCGUCCAUAUUUAGGAGAAAGGUUUGGCAGUUAUUGAAAAAUGUUCCCAUAUUUGCAUAGAUAUCUUCUCUUUGAUGCCCAGAGUACAGUUCACUGUAUUUCUUAUACCUUUUUCAAAUUUAUAUUUUUAUUUCUGCAAGAUUUUAUAGAUUCUUCACAAGCUUUGUUUAUUAUUCCUUCUCCCAUCUUAUUAAAACUCUUAAUUGGAUAUUUGAUCUCAAAAAAUAAUUUAGAUGGAUCUAAUUUGGAAAAAAACUCAAACUAAGCAGAGAACCUUUUACCCAAAGUUGAUUUUUAAAGAAAACUUAAAUUGUAUUGUCAUCAUUUCAUCUGAAUACACAAUUACCCCUUCAUGUCCCGUGUUUUCCCACAUAAAUUCUAAUUAAUCAUCAACUACAGAAGCUAGUGGGGAUUUGGGGCAGGACUUGUUCUUACUUAGUAUUUAUCCCAGAUCUAUAGAAGAUUAAAGUACCUUUUUCUUUGUACCCCUGGAGCAUAAACUACUGUUGACCAAUAAUAAUGCUUGUGGAUAAUGUCUUAAUAAAGCUUUUUCAAACAGACAUAUCAAUAAAUUUGGAUUUUUAAUCCAAUCAAUGAUGCCUCGGACAUUUUCCCAGCAAGUAAACCAUAUCAUAAAAACCUCUGUCAAGAGAGUCUUGGAUGUUGUUAGCUUACCAAAUUAAAGACUAAAAUGGAGCAUUCUUCACACUGGAACUCUUGGCCUUGGCUGAAACUCAGAAAGAAAGAUUGGCCCUGCAGCAAACCAUAUUCACUCAUUAGGCUUUCUUUGGUCAUGCAGAUACUCCUAUUCUAGUUAAGGUAACAUUGAUCAAAUUAGGCAUUUGUCUAAGCACAAUUUAUAAAUGUAAAAAUUUAUCACUUAGAAAGUAAAACAUAUUCACUGAAUAUAGGGUAUACUGUAAAUUGAUAAUGGGAUAAAGAAAACUAAUAGGCAUCCAAGGAAAUAAUUAGAUUCCUCUGUGCAAGCUUUUCUUCCAAGUUUAAUCAGUCUACAAAAUGAAGUCUAUUAUGAGGUAGCUUUUGUUGCAAAUUAGUGAAAUGUUUAAUAAUUGGUACUCUGUGGUUUCCAGUUUAUUUCUCCAUAUAAAGGUUAAUUAGCUUUGACUCCAGGAAUGAAUAGCUGUAGCCAGUUAUUAAUUUUUCAGAUUCAUUAGGCAAUUGAUUUUAAUUACUCUGUCUGUCGCUACAUGGAAAUAGCCAUCUAUUUAUGUAAUAUUUUAUGAUGGAAGUCUAGUACUACCUUCCGAAUGGUGAAUACAGUUUAGUAUUCUUUUAUUCCCAUGGCUUUAACACCUUUCUGCAUAAUAACCUCACGUUCCACAAGUUUCUAACACCUGUAGUUCAUUCAUGCACCAUAAGUCAUUGCUACCUUAAAUGUUUAAAAAGGAAUCUGUGGGUGGGGGUGCUGGAAGGUUGGCACCUAGGGAUGGAGAGGGGUCCUCUCCUUAUGAGCCUAGAUGUCAGAGAGGGAGAAGCAGAGCUGCUGGCAGGCCCUUCUGGUGGAGCACAGAGCCUCAUCGGGGAGAGAGGAGGACUACAACCAGCCAGGAGGGUCUGAAGGAGGAAGAGGUGGUGGCAGAGCUGGAAGCAAAGAGGCAGGUCACUGUUUUAUCAUCAAGAACCAGGCGCUGCCUUCAUAAGUGGAAUCAGACAGUGCGCACAUAGCUGACACAUAGGGCAAGUUGCCUCAUCUUUAAAAGCUUGGUGGGAGGGCUGUGUCAACCAUUGGGACAUCUUCCAUUUGCUUAUGGACCUCUUACCUUGCUCAUGUACCUUGUAAUCUUGACUACUGAGCCUUGUGCCUGCUGCCAAGGCUAUACCGCUAUUAGCCCGAAUAAAGAUAGCAACACGUACUGGUAAAUAAGGAUAUCAGUGUAUUUUGGGAUGGGUGCCUGACAGCUAAAGUAACCAAGGUACUGAGAGUCCCUGUGGGAUCAAAGGCUAGCUCUGAACUGAAGAUCCAAGAGGAAUCUCUUGGAAAGGUCUAGAUGAGAUAUUGGAAGUGGGUUUAUGCACUUGUAGCAUAAGAUGAUCAUUCCAAGGACAAAGUUGAUCACAGGCCAGGAAUCCAUCUGAAGGAGGAUUGCUAAAUAAUGUAGGGCAGUGAUGGGGAGGAAAAUUAUAUAGGCAAGGUAGGAAAACAAGAGGACCAGCAGGCACCAAUGUACACAGAGAGGGGAGGCAGAUGGGCAAGGAGACAAAGACAGAGACCUGACUGAUAAGUAUUUAUAGUCACACCACGUCAAUAAGAACCAAAGGACUGCAGGAGUAAGUCAGAUUGGGCAGUGAUGGAUUUAGUGCUAAUACACCAAUAGAAGAACAACAGGAGUAUAUACCUGAUGUUUCCAUCAGGUUUGUAUCCCUAACAGCAAAAGCGGUUGUAAGCACACCUGGAUAUUCCUCCCAAAUGAUAGCUAUUAUAGAAAACAAUAGUGCAUAUUUCAGGUGCUGGGGAGCUAUACUUGGCCAUAAUCUCCCAGAGUGUGUGCAGUGAAAUAGAUGCACAUGCCAAUCACACAUGCUUUUUUUCUCCUGUGUGGAAAAGUAGCUCCGAGUAUGAUCAAUAAGAUGGAUGUUUUA
Molecule: non-coding RNA, 4899 nt
Organism: Podarcis muralis (Common wall lizard)
Lineage: Eukaryota; Metazoa; Chordata; Lepidosauria; Squamata; Lacertidae
Source: RefSeq, a predicted model, not a curated record